Molecule: non-coding RNA, 211 nt
Organism: Pelobates cultripes (western spadefoot toad)
Lineage: Eukaryota; Metazoa; Chordata; Amphibia; Anura; Pelobatidae
Source: the annotation of a GenBank genome assembly
CCUACAUAAAAAAAUAAAAAAUGACAUAGAACAUAAUACAAAUGAUAUUAGAUCGGAAAUUUCCAUUCUUUCUGAGAAACUCUCAAGUCAGGCAAUUAUAGUACAAAAAGUUCAAGACGAUUAUGAACAUAUCAAAUUAUCUAAUGCACAAUUAGAGAAGAAACUGCAAGACAUUGAGAAUAGAAUUACAAAUUUUGAAGAUCGCUCCAGG